CCUACGGGUGGCAGCAGUGAGGAAUAUUGGUCAAUGGGCGCGAGCCUGAACCAGCCAAGUAGCGUGAAGGAUGACUGUCCUACGGGUUGUAAACUUCUUUUAUAAAGGAAUAACGUGAGGCACGCGUGCCUUUUUGUAUGUACUUUAUGAAUAAGGAUCGGCUAACUCCGUGCCAGCAGCCGCGGUAAUACGGAGGAUCCGAGCGUUAUCCGGAUUUAUUGGGUUGAAAGGGAGCGUAGAUGGGGUGUUAAGUCAGUUGUGAAAGUUUGCGGCUCAACCGUAAAAUUGCAAUUGAUACUGGCAGCCUUGAGUACAGUAGAGGUAGGCGGAAUUCGUGGUGUAGCGGUGAAAUGCUUAGAUAUCACGAAGAACUCCGAUUGCGAAGGCAGCUUACUGACCUGCCACUGACAUUGAGGCUCGAAAGUGUGGGUAUCAAACAGGAUUAGAUACCCUGGUAGUC
RNAcentral lists this ribosomal RNA (460 nucleotides) under uncultured bacterium. RNAcentral's name for it is "partial 16S ribosomal RNA". It matches the Rfam family "Bacterial small subunit ribosomal RNA", at positions 338 to 795 of the family's 1533-position model. The record is from RNAcentral.